AAAGCCCAUUUGGCUCCUUAAAUAUUUAUCCUAUCCUUUCCUUUUUUCGUUAGCAGUUCACAAUUCGUUAUCUUUCUCGUUCACUCUACUCUUUCUUUCACAAAUGGAUCUGAGCGGAAAUGUUUUUCUCUUAUCACAAGUCUUGUGAUAUGUGAUAUAUAAUACAUAAUACACGUACAAAUGAACAUCUUUGAGCAAAGAAUCUCCAUUUGAAUGAUUCAUGUCCAUAUCAUUAUUCGUACUGAAACUUUCAAAGUUUUUUUUUGAAACUCCAAAAAAUUCCAGGGAUUGGAUAAAACUUUGUAAUACCCUUUCGUUCUUUUAAUUGACAUAGACCCAAGUCAUCUAGUAAAAUGAGGAUGAUGCGUCGGGAAUG
RNAcentral lists this unclassified non-coding RNA (376 nucleotides) under Styrax foveolaria. Its description in RNAcentral is "trnL-trnF intergenic spacer". The record is from RNAcentral. Lineage: Eukaryota; Viridiplantae; Streptophyta; Magnoliopsida; Ericales; Styracaceae.